Molecule: ribosomal RNA, 404 nt
Filed under: Actinomycetes bacterium
Lineage: Bacteria; Bacillati; Actinomycetota; Actinomycetes
Description: Actinobacteria bacterium partial 16S ribosomal RNA
Rfam family: Bacterial small subunit ribosomal RNA
Source: RNAcentral
UGGGGAAUCUUGGACAAUGGGCGCAAGCCUGAUCCAGCCAUGCCGCGUGAGUGAUGAAGGCCCUAGGGUUGUAAAGCUCUUUCACCGGUGAAGAUAAUGACGGUAACCGGAGAAGAAGCCCCGGCUAACUUCGUGCCAGCAGCCGCGGUAAUACGAAGGGGGCUAGCGUUGUUCGGAUUUACUGGGCGUAAAGCGCACGUAGGCGGACUUUUAAGUCAGGGGUGAAAUCCCGGGGCUCAACCCCGGAACUGCCUUUGAUACUGGAAGUCUUGAGUAUGGUAGAGGUGAGUGGAAUUCCGAGUGUAGAGGUGAAAUUCGUAGAUAUUCGGAGGAAAACCAGUGGGGAAGGCGGCUCACUGGACCAUUACUGACGCUGAGGUGCGAAAGCGUGGGGUGCAAACAGG